Molecule: ribosomal RNA, 322 nt
Filed under: uncultured Chloroflexota bacterium
Lineage: Bacteria; Bacillati; Chloroflexota
Description: bacterial SSU rRNA
Rfam family: Bacterial small subunit ribosomal RNA
Source: RNAcentral
GAUGAACGCUGGCGGCGUGCCUAAUACAUGCAAGUCGAGCGGAGGAUCUAGCAAUAGGUCCUUAGCGGCGAACGGGUGAGUAACGCGUUGGUGACCUGCCUCGAAGAUUGGGAUAACAGUUCGAAAGGACUGCUAAUACCGGAUGUGAUCACGGGGAUUAGAUGCCCUGUGAUUAAAGGAGAAAUUCACUUCGAGAGGGGCCUGCGUCCCAUCAGCUAGUUGGUAGGGUAAAGGCCUACCAAGGCGAUGACGGGUAGGGGACCUGAGAGGGUGGCCCCCCACAAUGGAACUGAAACACGGUCCAUACACCUACGGGUGGCAG